AACGCAGCCGCUCCCCACCACCAGCGGGGCGUGCUUCGUGACCAGUGACAACCAGCGCGGCCAGGCCAGCGUAGCUGCCCUCGGCACCUUGGUGCCGGCAGACACCAUCAGCUGGCAACCAGCAGCCAGGACCUCUGGAGCGGCCCUGCAGGGC
This is a long non-coding RNA of Ixodes scapularis (black-legged tick), 154 nucleotides long. RefSeq lists it as uncharacterized. The transcript has 3 exons. NCBI's taxonomy places the organism in Eukaryota, Metazoa, Arthropoda, Arachnida, Ixodida, Ixodidae. The record is from RefSeq and is a predicted model, not a curated record.